AUUGAACGCUGGCGGCAGGCCUAACACAUGCAAGUCGAACGAGUGGCGGACGGGUUAGUAAUGUCUGGGAAACUGCCCGAUGGAGGGUGAUAACUACUGGACACGGUAUCUAAUACCGCAUACCAUCGGAUGUGCCCAGAUGGGAUUAUCUAGUUGGUGGGGUAACGGCUCACCUAGGCGACGAUCCCUAGCUGGUCUGAGAGGAUGACCAGCCACACUGGAACUGAGACACGGUCCAGACUCCUACGGGAGGCAGCAGUGGGGAAUAUUGUACAAUGGGCGCAAGCCUGAUACAGCCAUGCCGCGUGUAUGAAGAAGGCCUUCGGGUUGUAAAGUACUUUCAGCGAGGAGGCGUUACGCGCAGAAGAAGCACCGGCUAACUCCGUGCCAGCAGCCGCGGUAAUUC
Molecule: ribosomal RNA, 406 nt
Filed under: uncultured bacterium
Lineage: Bacteria
Description: partial 16S ribosomal RNA
Rfam family: Bacterial small subunit ribosomal RNA
Source: RNAcentral